This 265-nucleotide long non-coding RNA is filed under the name Carica papaya (papaya). RNAcentral's name for it is "long non-coding RNA (CPAP_LNC000085)". Lineage: Eukaryota; Viridiplantae; Streptophyta; Magnoliopsida; Brassicales; Caricaceae. The record is from RNAcentral.
AACCCCAGUCGCGAAGGAGAACUGACGGAGCUGCUGCACCCAGAGAUCCCCAUGCUGGUAAGUUCAGUUUUUUUUUGUGAUUUUCUGGCCAACCAAGGCUCCCUAACAUGUGUUUUUGCAAGGAUACGUGUAAAAUCGGCCAAAACUGGCCAAAACCGGCCAAGCUGAGGUGAACUACCGCCGUGGGCGGAAGAGUCGGCGCCGGAACACGAUGGUGCCGCUGUGUCGGAACCUUAAAAUUAGUUGGAAAGGGUUUUCAACACCG